GGAGGACAUUGUCAGGUGGG
Molecule: non-coding RNA, 20 nt
Filed under: Arabidopsis thaliana (thale cress)
Lineage: Eukaryota; Viridiplantae; Streptophyta; Magnoliopsida; Brassicales; Brassicaceae
Source: RNAcentral